CAUGCAUGUAAUUGAAAGGUGGAAACAAAUGUAGAAAACAAAUGAAGGAUUAAAGGAGCACUAUUAAGAGAGAGACGGGUGUAUGAAAUAAAAAGGAAAAAAUGUUGCAUCAUAUUUUAGCAUGAGGACUAGAGUGGCGUCUGGGCAGCAGAAGAGUGUGGAGGCCACGCAUCUAUUUUCUUCGGUGUUUAUGGGCAUUGGAGCUUGAUCAAAAUAGAGACAUAAAGAAGAUUAUAUAGAAGUAAUAUACUAAGGAGUUGAGCUAGAAAAUUAAGAGACUGAGGGAUUAAAUGGUAUUAUCAUUUGCAUGGGGUCGAAGAUUAUUGUGUGAUAGGAGAAAGGAGAGAGGAUGACCAUGAAGGAAUGGGCUGCUUCUCCACGUGAAUGAGAGGGAAAGGAGAUAUUAAUAGCUGCUGCAUGCUUUCAUGCAUUUGAAGAUGAGAAGAACAAUUGGAGUACAGCAUCUGUUUUUGCAUGAGUGGAGUAAAGGAAUGUGGAGUCCAGCCACACUCUGCAAUUUAUUUGCUGCUCAAAAAUAAAAUGGAGAUUAAGAGGAGGUGAUUAAGAGAAAAAUAAAUCAAGGAAAUCUGAGAAUAAGAAUUAUGUGUGACAGUUAUAUUUUUUUUGCUUGAACAAAAAAAGUAGGGGCUGCAACACAAGGAGAGGGGAUACUGUUUUCACAUGAAAGGGAGUGGAAAUUUAAGAUUCAUUUAUAUGAGUGGUUGAGAGAUGAUAAAAUAUUGGCCUGAAUAAUCCAUGGACACCAAAAUGAUUAAGAGCUCGAGAAAGAAAAGAAAGGAAAGACAAAAGAGAAUAGGACAUGCUAGAUUUUUGUUGGAUGUUAGCAAAAGACUUGAUUGGGGUUUUGAAUACCAAUUUGGUAUUUUAGGGAUAUGAAGAUGGGAUGAAACCCUAGGCAUAUUUUGGAAACAAACAAAUUCAUUUUUCAAGUAUAAACAUUGUGCAACGGCAUGAGUGCAACAAACCACUAAGUUAAAUUGCAAAAAAAAAAAAAAUUAGAAGCCCAUAUUUUUCCACUAUCUAACAUGUUGGCAACAUAAUAAAGUUGGAACAUUUUAUAAAAAAAAUAAAUUAUUUGUCUUUGUUUUCAGUGUUUUCUAAGUCAUAUCCCAAAGUUAGAAUUUUGGGGUGUGACAACUCUACCCCCCUUAACAGGAAUCUCGCCCCGAGAUUCACUGAAGCUACACUCAUUACAAAGAGCCAAAUCAUACAAGUUCAUCAUGACAAAACAAUCAACCUAGCUAAAGCACACUAACAUGAUAGGAUCCUUAUAAAAGCACACUAUCACUCACCUUAGCAUCGUUGCUAACGUAAAAGUGCUCAGUGAUAACAACAUCCUAAAGGCAUUAGGAUAGACGGGCUUGAACCACUAAACUUUGGUGAUGAUGUUUAUCGUUGACGUCGAAUCUUCAACUUCACCAGCAUCUUUAUGGAUAUUGGAGAAACGAGGGGCUUCGGUAAAAAGUUUUAUAUUUCCUUCAUAAAAUAUCAUGGAGAAGGAAGACAAGAUAAGUUUUUAUUAAAAUAUAUUUGUAAAAGCGACCAUUUCUAUCUAGGCAGAGCGUCCUACAGUCAACAUUGCUUUGAUACCAAUCUGUCGCACCCGG
RNAcentral lists this long non-coding RNA (1628 nucleotides) under Sorghum bicolor (sorghum). Its description in RNAcentral is "long non-coding RNA (SBIC_LNC018816)". The record is from RNAcentral. Lineage: Eukaryota; Viridiplantae; Streptophyta; Magnoliopsida; Poales; Poaceae.